UACGGAGGGUGCUAGCGUUAUCCGGAUUUACUGGGUUUAAAGGGUGCGUAGGCGGCCUUGCAAGUCAGUGGUGAAAGCCUGAUGCUCAACGUCAGAAAUGCCAUUGAUACUGCUAGGCUAGAGUAAAGGAUAGGUAGGCAGAAUUCGUAGUGUAGCGGUGAAAUGCAUAGAUACUACGAGGAAUCCCAAUAGCGUAGGCAGCUUGCUAGCCUUUUACUGACGCUGAGGCACGAAAGCUUGGGGAGCAAACAGG
Molecule: ribosomal RNA, 253 nt
Filed under: uncultured bacterium
Lineage: Bacteria
Description: partial 16S ribosomal RNA
Rfam family: Bacterial small subunit ribosomal RNA
Source: RNAcentral